This 482-nucleotide ribosomal RNA is filed under the name uncultured bacterium. RNAcentral's name for it is "partial 16S ribosomal RNA". It matches the Rfam family "Bacterial small subunit ribosomal RNA", at positions 28 to 507 of the family's 1533-position model. The record is from RNAcentral.
GACGAACGCUGGCGGCGUGCCUAACACAUGCAAGUCGAACGGACCUGUUUUGAGAUAUUUCUUCGGAAUGAAUCUGAUUUCGUUUAAUGGCGGACGGGUUAGUAACGCGUUAGGAACCUGCCUUCAAGAGGGGAAUAACAUUCUGAAAAGAAUGCUAAUACCGCAUGACAUAUCGGAACCACAUGGUUUUGAUGUCAAAGCUUUUAUCUCUUUAAGCUGGACUCGCGACCGAUUAUUUAGUAAGUGAUGUACCGGCUAACCAAGACCGCGAUCGGUAACCGGGCUGAGAGGUCGAGCGGCAGAAUCGGGAGUGAGACACCGCCAGGGAUCCUACGGGAGGGAGCGGUGGGGGAACUUGCCAAAGGGGGGCAACCGAGAAGGAGCAACGGCGCGUGAAGGAUGAAGAUUUUCGGAUUGCAAACUUCUUUUAUUAAGGACGAAAAAUGACGGUACUUAAUGAAUAAGCUCCGGCUAACUACGUG